This 59-nucleotide transfer RNA is filed under the name Lycoprogenthes sp. 'Protaphes' UPOL A00527. RNAcentral describes it as "tRNA-Leu". RNAcentral also lists the same sequence under 2 other names. Lineage: Eukaryota; Metazoa; Arthropoda; Insecta; Coleoptera; Lycidae. The record is from RNAcentral.
UGUAGCAAAAUAGUGCAAUAAACUUAAGACUUAUAAAUAAAGUUAAUCUUUCUUUAGAU